AACGAAAGUAAAAGCAAGGACGCCAUUUUCAGGGUUUAAACACUUUAACAAAGGGUAUAAACGCUAAGCGUAUUUCGUGAAAGUAGGAGAGCAGUGCCUCCAAAAUGAGUUUCCAUGAGGAAAGAGAGAAUGAAGACACUAUGUCUGAAGCGAGCUCUUCAUCUCCUGGAUCAGGCCACACAUCUCUAAGUGAUGAAUCCAUACAAAAGCUUCCCCCUGCAAUCAGUGAUGCAGUGACCUCUGACCCCUGCGUCAGCAGGAGGAAGACAUCGAGAGCAGAGUCUCCAGAACCCAGCUGUGUGUCUGUGAAGAGUAACAGAUCCAUGCAGAAUCGACCCCCUGUUUUCUGUGAUGGACCAGUGACCUCUGAUCCUCUGUUAGUAUAAACAUUCACUUGCUAAUUUACUCUAGUGCAUCUCAGAAGAAUAACAAU
Molecule: long non-coding RNA, 433 nt
Filed under: Sinocyclocheilus grahami
Lineage: Eukaryota; Metazoa; Chordata; Actinopteri; Cypriniformes; Cyprinidae
Description: lncRNA (ENSSGRG00000016443.1)
Source: RNAcentral